RNAcentral lists this ribosomal RNA (435 nucleotides) under uncultured bacterium. Its description in RNAcentral is "partial 16S ribosomal RNA". It matches the Rfam family "Bacterial small subunit ribosomal RNA", at positions 28 to 507 of the family's 1533-position model. The record is from RNAcentral.
GAUGAACGCUGGCGGUAUGCUUAACACAUGCCAGUCGAACGGACUCUUCGGAGUUAGUGGCGGACGGGUGAGUAGCGCGUGAGAAUCUGGCUUUGGGUUCGGGACAACCACUGGAAACGGUGGCUAAUACCGGAUGUGCCGAGAGGUAAAAGAGAAAUUGCCUGAAGAUGAGCUCGCGUCUGAUUAGCUAGUUGGUGAGGUAAAGGCUCACCAAGGCAGCGAUCAGUAGCUGGUCUGAGAGGAUGACCAGCCACACUGGGACUGAGACACGGCCCAGACUCCUACGGGAGGCAGCAGUGGGGAAUUUUCCGCAAUGGGCGAAAGCCUGACGGAGCAAUACCGCGUGAGGGAAGAAGGCUCUUGGGUUGUAAACCUCUUUUCUUAGGGAAGAACAAAAUGACGGUACCUAAGGAAUCAGCAUCGGCUAACUCCGUG